This 253-nucleotide ribosomal RNA is filed under the name uncultured bacterium. Its description in RNAcentral is "partial 16S ribosomal RNA". It matches the Rfam family "Bacterial small subunit ribosomal RNA", at positions 524 to 776 of the family's 1533-position model. The record is from RNAcentral.
UACGGAGGGUGCAAGCGUUAUCCGGAUUUACUGGGUUUAAAGGGUGCGUAGGUGGAUUAGUAAGUCAGUGGUGAAAUACUUUCGCUUAACGAAGGAACUGCCAUUGAUACUACCAGUCUUGAAUACAGUGGAGGUAGGCGGAAUGCGUCAUGUAGCGGUGAAAUGCUUAGAUAUGACGCAGAACACCAAUUGCGAAGGCAGCUUGCUACACUGUUAUUGACACUGAGGCACGAAAGCGUGGGGAUCAAACAGG